ACCCCUCCCGGCUCAGUGUGCAGGCUGCAGGGACAAACAGCCACCGUCUGCGGCCGGACACUGAGUCACUACACCACCAACAACAGCCUCGUCCAUGGGCUGUUGAAGCUGGUGGAAGGAUGAACCAGGAUGUGGUCACCGCAGCCGCCCCGCUGAAAAAAAUGCCGAAAGGCGCAUAGAGCGAGCUAAAGAGUAGCAUCGAAACCCGAGCCCGGUCUAACGCCAACUUUGUUUGACACAUCAUGUGUACAAAGAAAGUUUCUCCAGACCUGCCAGCAUCAGCGGGCACCAUUUCCAUCCAUUACAUAAGCGAAACGUGUCGCUGCGAGCAGUUCCCCUCCCGGACGUUUUCCUGGUCGCUACAGACAAACCCCGGCUGUCCCCGUAACCGCCAAGCGGCACUCACUGCACCGCUGCCCGGCGUGAGGCGUCAGGAGACUCCGCAGAGCAACCAUGUUUCUUGUGGACGGCCACGGUUGUCAAAACCCGCUAAAUUCGCUCUGUGGCGCCGCUAAACUCGGAUAAAAUACCCACGGAUGUGUUGAAGUGAAACACGAAGGGGCUUGAUAUGCGAGAAAGGAAGGCGGAGAUGGGAAAACGUCGGUGGGGAGAACCGCGGCUAGUCGGUGACUUGAAAGACACAAGCGGGCCUCCCGGCUGCUGCAGCCCCGGCAUUUUCUCCGCCGAAGAAAGCCUUUGUAUUGGGCCACAGCUCGCACUCCCAGCCUCGGCUCUCUCCCACGGGACGAGACGGUGCACGAGUCGAAAACUUACCCGGUCAGGGGACACAGAAGGGCCGCUAGAGAAGGAGCGUGGUCAUCGCCGCGACGGUUGAAGGGUUACUUUUCUGAUCCCAAAAAAACAACACUGCUCCUCAAAGAUUGAAUCCACGAUCCUCCCAGUUUCACAUCAUUUGGAUUCUAACAUGCUGUCAGCUACGUCGAGCAAAAAGACACCAAAGAGGAAAGAAAGGAGGUUCAGCACCAUGGACAGCAACCACUCACUCCAACCGGGAAGGGGAAAAGUAAGGGGACAUGCGCCUUGUGUCUCCUUCAGCUGGUCUUCCAAACAUAUGAAGGUCCUGAUAAUUUGCCCACAUUCUCUGUACACUCAGCGAUGUUGUUUGUCUUCAUUAUGGAACAAAGAAAGAUCCACGGCAGAUUAGCAGACUGAACAACCAUGCAGAAUUACUAUACCUAAAGGCUCUCUACAUGUUUAAUGUGAAGUAUAAAAGAAAGCCCACCUGUUUAUCCAAAUACAUAAAAGCAGACACUCUUUUAAUUGAGUGUUUUACUGUAAUGGUUCCAUCUGUGCUGAAAUGUAGAACUAGCCAUAAAUUCAACUUAAAUUAAAUAUACCGCAGUGUGGAAUACUGCAGCCCUUUCAUGUCUUGGCAGUCAGAUUAUUAAUGUCCUCUUCCAAAUAUUUAAGUUGACCAUGUUUUUGUUGGCUAAAACAAUGUUAAAGUUAAUAAAUAAAUGUGAAAUUACGGAGCCUAAAUUCAUGCAACUGCCCUUAGUACAGCUAGUGUCCAAAUCGAUACCUUAUACAUUGAUAAAAAGGAUCCAGUAGCGUCAGAAACACAUACAGAAAAACAUUAUGUUAUGUUAAAAUAUUAACUAUCAUAGAUUGGCUUUAUUUUAUAACUAAUCCAUACCUAUACUUACACACACUGAUGUUAUAAUUGAAUCCUGGAAAAAAGUUAAACUUCAUUAAAAUUGGCAUGUUCAUCACUUGGGGCUCAUGUAGGCUGGAAUUGAUUACAUGAAGUCCAUACUUUGGUGGAAUUGAAGAAGUAAGAGGAGACAAGUUAAUUCAGGAAACACAACAUGCUCUAAAAACUGAUAAAGAAAAAGAAAAACAAGCACCACUAUAGAGAGAAAAUAAUUUCCGUGCAAACGAAUCCAAGAAAACAAAUUGAAAAACAAACACAAGCCAUGAUUAAAUGACUUUGUAUUUAAUUAAAUUUUCCUCAUGUAACCAGUGGAAGAAAAUUAUAAUUAAAGGAAGAAUGGAUUGGAUCACAAAAGCCUGUGUUAAUUACGACUGUUAUAGGACAAAAUUGAAAAAGAAAAACUGGUAUCAACCUUAAGAAGCACGACGCUCAGUGUAAACACCCAGAUGUUUUUCUGUAGCCCUGUCAAACUCUAGUCUGCCUGCAGACAGCUCAUGGCUGACAGAAUCAAACGCCUGAGGCACAGCCACAAACAGGACAGAGCAGUGCUGCUGCUCAGAAGGAAGCGGUAUAUAUAGAGUGAUAUAGUACCAACACUUUAGUAGCUGUAAGGACUAAUGACACGUCUCAGUGACAUAUUUAAAAUACUGUGAAUUAAGGUUUUUCAUCAGGUUUUUACCUAAAAACACAAUAAAAAGCUAUUCAGACUUUGGUCUUAUCUUUAUCUACAACCUUUUUAGUAAGUGAGAUGUUCUGCAAAAUACCACUAGAUGGCAGUGUAGUCCUACAGGAAUCACACACAAUGAACUAUAGCAGUAAAGGGAAGUAAAGCAGGUGAAAACUGAACUGCAUGAGCAUACGUAAAAUAAAAUGCAUGAAAAUAAAUAGUCAUUAAACACAUUUAAAAUGUAAUAUACAUUUAAUUUAAUGUUGCUUAUAAAGUUGUAUAGUAACUAUUAUAUAAAAGCCAUGCUUUACGUCUCAAGGCUAAAGAAACAUGAAAAAUAAUUUUUGAGCUUCACACUUAUUAUUGUACUUUUAUGUAAAGACAAAAUCUUCUUGCAUCAAUCAUUUGUCAAUAUGGCAGAUUGACUCCCCUUCUGUUAUGUUUACAUAUAAUAUUCUGUAUAGACACAGUAACCUCAACUAUCUAUUUAGGUCCAAAAUAUAUGUCUAUUUAUGUAAAAGAAAAAACAGUACAUGCUCUUUGUGUUAUGCAGAGUUAAGGUCAGCACCAAGAUGCAAUAUCAGCAACUACAGUCUUUGUAAGAUUUUUCCUUCCUACAUGAAAACAAAUCCCAUCGUCAGUAUAUUUCUUGUAAAAUCUUCAAUCUGGCGUAGGGUUUCUCAUCGGAGACACAGUGUUGCUGCUACAGGGGGCAGCAGAGACCCAAUAUGUUGCUUCAGUUUUUCUCUUUUGCAGUAUUUAUUAUAUUCCGACAAGAGGAAGGUGGUGCAGCAACAGAUUUAAUUACAUCACAAAGUUCACAGUCAAUUUGUCUCCUCUCAAUCUGCAUCAUCUCCUCAGAGGAGCUUGACGACCUCAUGCGAUGGCUGACGUUUGUUAACCAAAAACGAAACUGAUCCGCAGCCCAAAAAUCCCACUGGUCAGGGACAUUAUUGUUCCUAUUGCGCCUGUCAAAAACUAAAAGUGCAUAUGUCUCGCAGGUGUACACAAACAACAAUAGUUGAGAGACAGGGUGAAAAGAAAGAAAGAAAUAAGUGUCCUCGAGCCCUGGAACAGACACUGCAGAGAGAGACCUUACAGUAAGAGCUGACAGAAGGAGGUUUUACAAUGAGAUGUAAAAAGGCUUGAGGAUGAUGUUCAGAGAGAAAGCCAAGACCCCUGCUGUGACCCUGCUCCCACUCAGCACACAUGUAUACACAUAUGCAGAUCCACCCACACAAAGCGCAGUGUGCCAGCGCUGAUCUGUUUUGACAAAAAAAAGGCAGCGUGUUUGAGCCAACCACAUUAAUCAGGAGUGAUCUUACGAUGUACCAACAAACAGCAGAACCAUCUAACUCAAUGAGGAUAAUAGCUUUAUUUACAUGGCAGCUUUUAAACCAGCCGCAACAAAGGGCUUCACAGAAAAGGACAAGUAAAGAAAACAAUUACUUUUUUCAGAAGGCACAAACCUGAAUUCCAUAUUAUGAUCAUGAUUUGUAUUAUUAUUAGCAGGCUGCAAUCUCCAUCUCCGUUGAGGACAUGCUACACAAAUUUAUCUAAAGAUGUAGUUAGCCAUAUUAAUUCAAUGCACUUGGGGCAGGAGUGAAGGGGCAGUGGGAGCGAGAUGGAGGUCUCUGAAAGGUCGUAAAACAGUAUAUGCUAACAGAACGCUUAUCCUCUUUCACGUACAACGCCAUGACUAUUUCAGAACCAUCUUACAGGACGUUACACCCACAAUCAUUUUCAUAGUAACGCCUUAAAUGCUAAAUGCUCAGGCACCAUAGACCACUGCUUACCCAGUGAUGAUGAGGAAAAGGCAAAGACUUGCAGGGAAGUUGGAAGAAAGUUACAAUGGAGAGGCCACCUGGAGUUGCCUCAGGACCACAGUGAGUUUUGAGAUCAGCAACGGCUCCUGUACUGCUCCAGGCGAUGUCUCCGGACUGCACUGGGGGUCAUGGCGACUACACACUGGUACACAAUGUUCUCCGGGUGGGCAGCAGACAGUCAUGGACACCGGUGAACGUGUGGUUUGUGUACAAGCAGAGGGUGUACUUUGUCCACAGUUAAUGCUAAUAUUUGUGGUGGCUAAUUCCAACUUUCUGAGGUCAGUCGUUCACCUUGGCAACGCGUGUGAAUGAAUGUGGGGGGGUGGAGCUUCUGAAGGACCAGUGGGUUUAUUUGUUUUCAAAUAUCAACAGUGAUUCCCCAGAAUGAGUUACCCUACCUUUAAGUGUAGAACCAAACAUUAUCCAAACAGGAACCAAGGUAACAUAAUGACUGUUCAGUAUCGUCUAAAGAAACAAAGCAUAACACAUAAUUAAAUCUGACUGUGUCUCCAGUUAACUGAGCAGGCAGAGGCAUGAAAA
Long non-coding RNA from Hippoglossus stenolepis (Pacific halibut), 4708 nucleotides. RefSeq lists it as uncharacterized. Lineage: Eukaryota; Metazoa; Chordata; Actinopteri; Pleuronectiformes; Pleuronectidae. The record is from RefSeq and is a predicted model, not a curated record. The transcript has 4 exons.